Molecule: ribosomal RNA, 692 nt
Filed under: uncultured bacterium
Lineage: Bacteria
Description: bacterial SSU rRNA
Rfam family: Bacterial small subunit ribosomal RNA
Source: RNAcentral
CCGCGUUAGAUUAGCUAGUUGGUGAGGUAACGGCUCACCAAGGCGAUGACGGGUAGCCGGCCUAAGAGGGCGAUCGGCCACACUGGAACUGAGACACGGUCCAGACUCCUACGGGAGGCAGCAGUGGGGAAUUUUUGGCAAUGGGCGCAAGCCUGACCGAGCGACGCCGUGUGGACGAUGAAGGCCUUCGGGUUGUAAAGUCCUGUCAGGAAAGAAGAAAAAUAGUAUUUCAAAUAAAGAUAUCAUUUGACAGUAUUUGCAAAGGAAGCUCCGGCUAACUCCGUGCCAGCAGCCGCGGUAAAACGGAGGGAGCAAUCGUUAUUCGGAUUUACUGGGCGUAAAGAGCACGUAGGUGGCUUGAUAGGUCACAUGUUAAAUCCCCUUGCUUAACAAGGGACCAGCAUGUGAAACCAUCUAGCUUGAGUGCAGGGGAGGUAGACGGAAUUCCCGGUGGAGCGGUGAAAUGCGUAGAUAUCGGGAAGAACACCUGCGGCGAAAGCGGUCUACUAAACUGUUACUAACACUGAGGUGCGAAAGCUAGGGGAGCAAACAGGAUUAGAUACCCUGGUAGUCCUAGCUGUAAACGAUGGACACUAGGUGUGUUCACCUUUGGUGGACGUGCCGAAGCUAACGCUUUAAGUGUCCCGCCUGGGGAGUACAGUCGCAAGGCUGAAACUCAAAUGAAUUGACGG